This 341-nucleotide long non-coding RNA is filed under the name Numida meleagris (helmeted guineafowl). Its description in RNAcentral is "lncRNA (ENSNMEG00000015210.1)". Lineage: Eukaryota; Metazoa; Chordata; Aves; Galliformes; Numididae. The record is from RNAcentral.
AUUGUCCUAAACUUCAGAAUAGUGUAAUUGCAGAUGGAAUUAUCAGAACUUCUUACUCUAUUGACAUUUUUCUAUAUCUAUUAGAUUUACCUUGUUGAUUUUCCUCCUAGGCAUUGUUUUAUGUGGAGUGUUGAAGACAGAAGAUUGUUCUAGAUGACGUGCUACUCAUCAUGAGCCCUAUGUGAAGACUUUUCAAUGUGUGAGAUUUAUAGGACCCUACAAUGAGAAAAUUGUUAUAAAAACCCUACAAGAUUUUUCUGUGCAGAGGAGAGGCAUAUCUGUUACUAACAUUUCACGGAACAGAGAAAUCUCUUCCUGAAUGUGAUUGAGGAGCUUCAUCC